CCUACGGGAGGCAGCAGUGGGGAAUAUUGGACAAUGGGGGCAACCCUGAUCCAGCCAUGCCGCGUGUGUGAAGAAGGCCCUCGGGUUGUAAAGCACUUUCAGUGAGGAAGAACGCCUGGUGGUUAAUACCCAUCAGGAAAGACAUCACUCACAGAAGAAGCACCGGCUAACUCCGUGCCAGCAGCCGCGGUAAUACGGAGGGUGCGAGCGUUAAUCGGAAUUACUGGGCGUAAAGCGCGCGUAGGUGGCUUGAUAAGCCGGUUGUGAAAGCCCCGGGCUCAACCUGGGAACGGCAUCCGGAACUGUCAAGCUAGAGUGCAGGAGAGGAAGGUAGAAUUCCCGGGGUAGCGGUGAAAUGCGUAGAGAUCGGGAGGAAUACCAGUGGCGAAGGCGGCCUUCUGGACUGACACUGACACUGAGGUGCGAAAGCGUGGGUAGCAAACAGGAUAGAUACCCUAGUAGUC
This 464-nucleotide ribosomal RNA is filed under the name Vreelandella stevensii. RNAcentral describes it as "partial 16S ribosomal RNA". It matches the Rfam family "Bacterial small subunit ribosomal RNA", at positions 338 to 795 of the family's 1533-position model. Lineage: Bacteria; Pseudomonadati; Pseudomonadota; Gammaproteobacteria; Oceanospirillales; Halomonadaceae. The record is from RNAcentral.